This 400-nucleotide ribosomal RNA is filed under the name phytoplankton environmental sample. RNAcentral describes it as "partial small subunit ribosomal RNA". It matches the Rfam family "Eukaryotic small subunit ribosomal RNA", at positions 587 to 984 of the family's 1831-position model. The record is from RNAcentral.
AGCUCCAAUAGCGUAUAUUAAAGUUGUUGCAGUUAAAAAGCUCGUAGUUGGAUUUGGGACUGGAGUCGUCGGGUCGGCCGCGAGGUCUGUUACUGGACGGCUCCGUCAUUUCAUCUCUCGGAGACCCGUCGUGCACUUCGCUGUGCGCGGCGCGGGACUCGGGACGUUUACUUUGAAAAAAUUAGAGUGUUCAAAGCAGGCUUUUCAAGCCCGGAUACAUGAGCAUGGAAUAAUGGAAUAGGACCGCGGUUCUAUUUUGUUGGUUUCUACGACCGCAGUAAUGAUUAAGAGGGACAAUUGGGGGCGUCCGUAUUUCGUUGUCAGAGGUGAAAUUCUUGGAUUUGUUAAAGAUGGCCCAGUGCGAAAGCAUUUGCCAAGAAUGUUCUCAUUGAUCAAGAAC